This 253-nucleotide ribosomal RNA is filed under the name uncultured bacterium. Its description in RNAcentral is "partial 16S ribosomal RNA". It matches the Rfam family "Archaeal small subunit ribosomal RNA", at positions 474 to 727 of the family's 1478-position model. The record is from RNAcentral.
UACCAGCACCCCGAGUGGUCGGGACGUUUAUUGGGCCUAAAGCAUCCGUAGCCGGUUCUACAAGUCUUCCGUUAAAUCCAGCUGCUUAACAGAUGGGCUGCGGAAGAUACUAUGGAGCUAGGAGGCGGGAGAGGCAAGCGGUACUCGAUGGGUAGGGGUAAAAUCCGUUGAUCCAUUGAAGACCACCAGUGGCGAAGGCGGCUUUCUGGUCUGUAACUGACGCUGAAGCGCGAAAGCGUGGGGAGCAAACAGG